GAACAAAUACAGAAAUGGGAUAUUAGAAUGGUAUCUGAAAACAGAGGUCGCAUUUUUAGAAAUAUGCCCGAAUUUUCUCCCAAUUCGUCUCCCCAGUUGAAGGGAGGAGGGUUACCAGAAAGUCUCAUUCAGCUAGUGCGUUGACCUUCUACAAAAGCAACCUAUAAAUACGUGGUCCAAUGUUUUACUCUUUCUUUCUGUGUUUCAUACUCUACAACAAUAUGUGUAGACUAGUGGGGCUUUUGGCUUCUUGAAGAACUGAGGGACCAGGGUAUUGGCUGCUCUCUGUGCGUGCCUGGAGAAGCCCAGCUGUAUUCCAUUGCGUUUCAGAUUAGCGCACUUAGUGGUGGUGUUCAAACGUAAGUGAGCUAGAAGAUAUUAAUGAUUAAAAGUAUGGCAGAUGCAGAAUUAGCUCAUGCGUGUCUUGGUGUAUUAACUUCCCUUUUUUCUUUCCAUCUUUGCGCAGCUUUGCUCAGUGUUUGUGACUGCCAGUGAAGUCUAUUCUCUAGUUGCUUACUGGAGAGAGAAGUUCUGGUAGCCUGGCUCAGCUAGCAGGUAUUAACAAAAGGACCGGUGCAGGCAAUCUGAUUCCUUGUUUUUGAACAGGAUGUGUACAGGAUGUGGAUUGAAAAACAUUGUGAACAGCAGAUCCUUUUGGCUGUUGAGCUUUCUGCACAAGGGAGUCAGUUUCUUAGAAAAUAGAUAGCUAUGCAGAAGGACAAGGAAAAUGGAGUACUUAAACCUGCUGAUGGCCUGUGUGAAGAACACCUCAAAGGUUACCACUCUGAUCCCUGUAAUCCAAGGAAGCUGAAUAAAAGGUUUUUCAGUGCAGUUGUGAUACUGGUAUUCGUCCUAGUGGUGCUUCCUGUUGUCCACACUUUUUCUUUGAGGAGUAUUGAGACCAAGUUUCUUUGUACUUAAAUAUGCUUUCAUUUAGUCUGGGAGGCAGAAGGUGGUUGCUUUCUCUCUCUUGGCAAUUUCUAGCAAUUACCCCAGCUGCUUCAGACUUUUGAAUCUGGAGUCCUGAUUAAGUAUCUGUUCUUUUGAACUUGCUAGCUUUGCUUCUCCUGCACUGUUGCAGCACAACUCGGGCACAAUUUGGAAAGCGUGGUUUCCUUGAAGCAUUAGGUGAACAGUGACACAAGAGUGAGUCAGCAGUGUGCUAAAUAUCUAAUAUCUUUUCACAAGUGUGUGCUCUCUCUUCUCUAAAUCUCUUCUUGCUACUUUCGUUGCUUUUUAGCCCAAUGAACAAAAUAAAAGAUUUUUUUUUCCUCAA
Molecule: long non-coding RNA, 1276 nt
Organism: Strigops habroptila (Kakapo)
Lineage: Eukaryota; Metazoa; Chordata; Aves; Psittaciformes; Psittacidae
Exons: 2
Source: RefSeq, a predicted model, not a curated record